Molecule: ribosomal RNA, 429 nt
Filed under: Streptomyces gardneri
Lineage: Bacteria; Bacillati; Actinomycetota; Actinomycetes; Kitasatosporales; Streptomycetaceae
Description: partial 23S ribosomal RNA
Rfam family: Bacterial large subunit ribosomal RNA
Source: RNAcentral
ACCUGCCGCUGAAUAUAUAGGCGGUGUGGAGGGAACGUGGGGAAGUGAAACAUCUCAGUACCCACAGGAAGAGAAAACAAUUGUGAUUCCGUGAGUAGUGGCGAGCGAAAGCGGAUGAGGCUAAACCAGGUAGAUGUGAUACUCGGCAGAGGUUGUCUAUUUGGUGUUGUGGGGUCAUUCUUCUCAGUCCUGCCGGGCUGGGCGGGAGUCAGAAACCGUUGUGUUAGUCGAAGUGGUCUGGAACGGCCUGUCGUAGAGGGUGAGAAUCCCGUAGACGAAAAUGCAACGGCUCUCGUGGAUGAUGCCCGAGUAGCAGCGGGCCCGUGAAAUCUGCUGUGAAUCUGCCGGGACCACCCGGUAAGCCUGAAUACUCCCUGGUGACCGAUAGCGGACUAGUACCGUGAGGGAAAGGUGAAAAGUACCCCGGGA